This is a long non-coding RNA of Ailuropoda melanoleuca (giant panda), 2745 nucleotides long. RefSeq lists it as uncharacterized. NCBI's taxonomy places the organism in Eukaryota, Metazoa, Chordata, Mammalia, Carnivora, Ursidae. The transcript is spliced from 3 exons. The record is from RefSeq and is a predicted model, not a curated record.
GAAUUUCCUCUUUCUCUGUUAAGGUUUCGUUCUUUAUGUUUUGAUUGUAUAAAAAGAAAUGUCCAAAGGAGACAAAGGAGGUUACAGCCCCGAGGGAGGUGUGUUUUCUUUGCCACAGCACCAGGAGAACCGAGGGGUCGCUGCUGCCCCUCCAGGGCCUCCCCUCUCUCUCUUCCUCUCUUCGUGCUGAACACCAAGCCCCUUGCACGGGGCUGCAUCGUUCAGCCACCUGUUGACAUGGGGUGCUGUUCCCUCAGAUUUCCUGCUACCUGGAGCUGGGGAGCGUGGCCGUCCUGAUUGUCACGGAGCCGUGCUGGAGCCCCGGGUUGUGCGUGACGAGGGGAGACAGAGGCAGGCUGCCCGGUCCAGGGGACAGGAUGGAAAACCACUUGAAGGCUUGUGCCCAGGACGGGAGAACAUGUGAUGUGCCUGAUACACGCUUGUCCGUGGUCUGCCUGACAUCGCUAUUACGAUGUUGACCUCCGGUGAACCCCGAAGCAGGAAGCUCUCUAUGGCAGCAGGUGCAGGGAACGGUGUCAGCAGGUAGUGCUCCUUCACCCGCUCAUCACCGAGCACCCGCCAGGGUCCCUCAUCACCGAGCGCCCGCCAGGGUCCCUCAUCUCCGAGCGCCCGCCACUGUUCCCGGCAACUUUGCAUGACGACUGUUCCUUUGCUCUUCCUGCAUUUCCCAGAGGAAGAAGUGAAGGUCAGGAGGCAUGAAACUCUGCGCGGAUGUGCACGGCGCCUGCCCCGAGCCGUGGGUGCGCUGGGGAACCGGCCGCGUGGACUCCACUCCUGUGCGAAGUGUCAGAGCUGGGAGCAGCCAGGGGAGCGCUGGUGGUGAGCUCAUGGCAGCAGAUGGUCGUGGACACUGUGGAGAAGCCACUGCUCGCCUGAGCGGGGCCAUGCGGGGCCACCUCUGGAAUAGUGGCCCUGCAACGGCCACUCUGAGCUUCUCCCAGACCUGGAUUUUCUUUGCGGCAUCGCUUCAGAAAAUCUGUUUGUUUGUCUGGGGAUUCUACGGUCCUUAUGCUGUCAGCCCCACAAUUGCUUCUACUGGUUUUUCCAUUUGAGGAGUUGUCCACGUUCUCCAAAAGCUUAAGAAAGGACCGGACUAGAAGCCCACAGAGCUGGGCUAGCAUCCCGUCCUUUCCCCACUUAGCUACUUGGUAACUUUGACCUUGACCCAGGCCAUGUUACCUGCUGGGCCUCUGGACUGCAUGGAAUUAGAGAUGAGAUAAAUGGUCAGAUCUUUUAAUUACUUUGUUUUUUCUUUCAUAUAUGUUUGGACUUUCAUAGAUGGGCAUGUAUAAAUAAAUCGAUGUGUUGUGCAAACAUUCCAUACAUUUAUAAAGGUAAAGAUGUUUGUUGCUGUUGGUCUCCAGAUUCCUUUUACAAACACUUUCCCUCACGUUAUUAGAAGCUGCCCAUUCAUGAUGAAGGGUUUCCAUUUCCUUUUCAGAGAAUGCUGGUACUCAGCUCCCGUGCUGUGGGAAACUCAUGCCCCCCACAUGGGCAGUGUGCAACUCCCUCCUGACCCAUGCACCUGCUAGCCGUGGGCUGGCUCUCCUCCUGUCUAAACCUCCAAGGAGUGCCUCCUCUUCUCUCCUUCCUUCUCUGCCCCGUUAUGAUCUAGUCUGCUGCCUUCACUUGCACAACUGCUCUUGUAAGAAAGGGCAAGUGAAAAAUCAUAUGCUACCUUCUUUCCUGGCCCUGGGGGGAGGAAAGACAUGGCGAACACAUCGUGUUGUCUUGGACCAGGUUUGGGCUGGUCUGUCUGAUUCUGUGGGGCCCAGAGAAAUGGGACACCUGUACUAGGUUUUACAGGGGAAGACCCACACCAAUGCCCGAGAUCAACAUUAUCGUGUCUGACGGAAACGUGAACGGAUGCUUUCUGCGUUGCUGGUGGUUUAUAUCUUGGACAUAAUUGUGCAAGCAUCUUCAUUCUACCGCUGGAGGUCAGAUGCCCAAUGUGACAGCAAUAGUAGUCUCUUUAAAGCAGUGACUAAUACACAGUGAUAGCCGUUUUUCAAAAUUAUGUCUUUUGGAAAAGUAUUUGGAAGAUGAAUAAGCCAGGAUUGUCAUGGAGAUCUACCAUGGCGUAAAAGGCAAUUUCUUGUCACGGUCACCAUGACAACAUUCAGGCUACGUGCUCUCAUAUACCUGCAAUUAAAUUCUAUUAGAAAGGAAAGGUCGCUAGCGCCAAGCCGCUGCGUUUACCACGACCGCUGUUUAGCUGGAGACCAAAGGCCUGAUGGGUUUUGCUAAUGCAUUUUCAAAAGCACUAAGUCUUAGCUAACUACUUUUUCAUCCGUACGGGACUUUGAGUUGAAUUGCAGUUAGGACACCUCAAAACACUGUUACGAGCAGCCUGAUGAGUUGAGGUCCGACAGUCCAUGCCCUCUGCUCCCCAGUCCUCCCAGCCUCACGCACAUGGCCACCAGGUGAAGACAGGGAGUGAGAAUUGUCGGUGAGCACAUUGUUUCACCUGAAUCGGGCGGAACGUGUGGGGCAGAAAAGAUGACGUUCUGGGCCGAGCUUCUUCAAAUUUUCUGUGGCGCGCGUUAACCUGAGCUGCCCCGUUUCCCGGGGAAGGCAGCAGCCUCGCCCUGGCCAUCCGCGGCCCGAGCAGGCUCGGCGUCUCCACUCGGAGUACGUGCGUCGCCCUCGCGUCGGCCGGGAGCUCUGCUGAGCGGGUCGUGAUGCCAGCAGAUGCUUUCUGUCUGACUCUUGGGAUUUCUUCUU